CGUUGACCCGGCCAAAUCGA
This 20-nucleotide small nuclear RNA is filed under the name Arabidopsis thaliana (thale cress). Its description in RNAcentral is "snRNA_17685". Lineage: Eukaryota; Viridiplantae; Streptophyta; Magnoliopsida; Brassicales; Brassicaceae. The record is from RNAcentral.